AGUGAACGCUGGCGGUAGGCCUAACACAUGCAAGUCGAACGGCAGCACAGUAAGAGCUUGCUCUUACGGGUGGCGAGUGGCAGACGGGUGAGGAAUACAUCGGAAUCUACUUUUUCGUGGGGGAUAACGUAGGGAAACUUACGCUAAUACCGCAUACGACCUACGGGUGAAAGCAGGGGAUCUUCGGACCUUGCGCGAUUGAAUGAGCCGAUGUCGGAUUAGCUAGUUGGCGGGGUAAAGGCCCACCAAGGCGACGAUCCGUAGCUGGUCUGAGAGGAUGAUCAGCCACACUGGAACUGAGACACGGUCCAGACUCCUACGGGAGGCAGCAGUGGGGAAUAUUGGACAAUGGGCGCAAGCCUGAUCCAGCCAUACCGCGUGGGUGAAGAAGGCCUUCGGGUUGUAAAGCUCUUUUGUUGGGAAAGAAAAGCAGCAGGUUAAUACCCCGCUGUUCUGACGGUACCCAAAGAAUAAGCACCGGCUAACUUCGUG
RNAcentral lists this ribosomal RNA (492 nucleotides) under uncultured bacterium. Its description in RNAcentral is "partial 16S ribosomal RNA". It matches the Rfam family "Bacterial small subunit ribosomal RNA", at positions 29 to 507 of the family's 1533-position model. The record is from RNAcentral.